Molecule: ribosomal RNA, 374 nt
Filed under: unidentified archaeon
Lineage: Archaea
Description: bacterial SSU rRNA
Rfam family: Archaeal small subunit ribosomal RNA
Source: RNAcentral
UCAGUAACACGUAGUCAACAUGCCCAGAGGACGUGGAUAACCUCGGGAAACUGAGGAUAAACCGCGAUAGGUCAUAAUAUCUGGAAUGAUUUAUGGCUUAAAUCUAUAUGGCCUCUGGAUUGGACUGCGGCCGAUCAGGCUGUUGGUGAGGUAAUGGCCCACCAAACUUAAAACCGGUACGGGCUCUGAGAGGAGAAGCCCGGAGAUGGGCACUGAGACAAGGGCCCAGGCCCUAUGGGGCGCAGCAGGCGCGAAAACUCUGCAAUAAGCGAAAGCUUGACAGGGUUAUUCUGAGUGAUUUCCGCUAAGGAAAUCUUUGGUACCUCUAAAAAUGGUGCAGAAUAAGGGGUGGGCAAGCCUGGUGCCAGCAGCCG